CGGCGGAGGCUACUGCUAUUGGGGUUCGAUUAAGCCAUGCAAGUUGAACGAUUCUUCGGAAUCGUGGCGAACGGCUCAGUAACACGUGGAUAACCUACCCUUAGGACCGGUAUAACCCUGGGAAACUGGGGACAAUCCCGGAUAGGUGAUUUUUUCUGUAAUGAUUUUUCAUUUAAAUGCUCCGGCGCCUGAGGAUGGGUCUGCGGCAGAUUAGGUAGUUGGUAGGGUAAUGGCCUACCAAGCCGGUGAUCUGUACGGGUUGUGAGAGCAAGAGCCCGGAGAUGGAACCUGAGACAAGGUUCCAGGCCCUACGGGGCGCAGCAGACGCGAAACCUCCGCAAUGCGAGAAAUCGCGACGGGGGGACCCCAAGUGCCACUCUUAACGGGGCGGCUUUUCUUGAGUGUAAAAAGCUUUUGGAAUAAGGGCUGGCAAGACCGGUGCCAGCCGCCGCGGUAACACCGGCAGCUCUAGUGGUAGCCAUUUUUAUUGGGCCUAAAGCGUUCGUAGCCGGUUUGAUAAGUCUCUGGUGAAAUCCUGUAGCUUAACUGUGGGAAUUGCUGGAGAUACUAUUAGACUUGAGGUCGGGAGAGGUUAGCGGUACUCCCAGGGUAGGGGUGAAAUCCUGUAAUCCUGGGAGGACCACCUGUGGCGAAGGCGGCUAACUGGAACGAACCUGACGGUGAGGGACGAAAGCCAGGGGCGCGAACCGGAUUAGAUACCCGGGUAGUCCUGGCCGUAAACGAUGUGGACU
Molecule: ribosomal RNA, 752 nt
Filed under: uncultured archaeon
Lineage: Archaea
Description: bacterial SSU rRNA
Rfam family: Archaeal small subunit ribosomal RNA
Source: RNAcentral